RNAcentral lists this transfer RNA (75 nucleotides) under Actinomycetes bacterium. RNAcentral's name for it is "Actinobacteria bacterium tRNA-Lys". It matches the Rfam family "tRNA". Rfam says of the family: Transfer RNA (tRNA) molecules are approximately 80 nucleotides in length. Their secondary structure includes four short double-helical elements and three loops (D, anti-codon, and T loops). The record is from RNAcentral. Lineage: Bacteria; Bacillati; Actinomycetota; Actinomycetes.
GCGCCUCUAGCUCAAUGGCAGAGCAACGGACUCUUAAUCCGCAGGUUCUGGGUUCGAAUCCCAGGGGGCGCACCG